AGAGUUUGAUCCUGGCUCAGAUUGAACGCUGGCGGCAUGCCUUACACAUGCAAGUCGAACGGCAGCACGGGUGCUUGCACCUGGUGGCGAGUGGCGAACGGGUGAGUAAUAUAUCGGAACAUGCCUGGUAGUGGGGGAUAACUAGUCGAAAGAUUAGCUAAUACCGCAUACGAUCUAAGGAUGAAAGCAGGGGACCUUCGGGCCUUGUGCUAUCAGAGUGGCCGAUAUCUGAUUAGCUAGUUGGUGGGGUAAAAGCCCACCAAGGCGACGAUCAGUAGCUGGUCUGAGAGGACGACCAGCCACACUGGAACUGAGACACGGUCCAGACUCCUACGGGAGGCAGCAGUGGGGAAUUUUGGACAAUGGGGGCAACCCUGAUCCAGCAAUGCCGCGUGAGUGAAGAAGGCCUUCGGGUUGUAAAGCUCUUUUGUCAGGGAAGAAAUCGUGGACUCUAACAUAGUCUGCGGAUGACGGUACCUGAAGAAUAAGCACCGGCUAACUACGUGCCAGCAGCCGCGGUAAUACGUAGGGUGCAAGCGUUAAUCGGAAUUACUGGGCGUAAAGCGUGCGCAGGCGGUUUUGUAAGUCUGAUGUGAAAUCCCCGGGCUUAACCUGGGAACUGCAUUGGAGACUGCAAGGCUAGAGUGUGUCAGAGGGGGGUAGAAUUCCACGUGUAGCAGUGAAAUGCGUAGAUAUGUGGAGGAAUACCGAUGGCGAAGGCAGCCCCCUGGGAUAACACUGACGCUCAUGCACGAAAGCGUGGGGAGC
This 768-nucleotide ribosomal RNA is filed under the name bacterium AK-MB81. Its description in RNAcentral is "bacterial SSU rRNA". It matches the Rfam family "Bacterial small subunit ribosomal RNA", at positions 8 to 769 of the family's 1533-position model. The record is from RNAcentral.